RNAcentral lists this unclassified non-coding RNA (213 nucleotides) under Glomus sp. RNAcentral describes it as "partial contains 5.8S ribosomal RNA and internal transcribed spacer 2". The stretch from base 1 to 65 matches the Rfam family "5.8S ribosomal RNA", at positions 84 to 154 of the family's 154-position model. Lineage: Eukaryota; Fungi; Glomeromycota; Glomeromycetes; Glomerales; Glomeraceae. The record is from RNAcentral.
GUGAAUCAUCGAAUUUUUGAACGCAAAUUGCACUCUCUUCGGAGAGUAUGCCCGUUUGAGGGUCAGCCUAAAAAAAAAAAAUCGACAUAGUCGCUGUUUCGCGGUGACAUUCGUCGGAAAUUUUGUCAUUUUAAAACUUUGGGUUUUUAUUUGCUUAAAAUUUUCUUUACGUUUCCCCGAACGUUUCUAAUAUUUACUUCUUUUCCGUUUAAG